Molecule: ribosomal RNA, 253 nt
Filed under: uncultured bacterium
Lineage: Bacteria
Description: partial 16S ribosomal RNA
Rfam family: Bacterial small subunit ribosomal RNA
Source: RNAcentral
GACAGGGGAUACAAGCGUUACUCGGAAUCACUGGGCGUAAAGCGUCUGUAGGUUCUUCGGUAAGUCUGCGGUAAAAGCUCGGGGCUCAACCCUGAGAGCGUCGCGGAAACUACCGGGGUGGAGUAGUGCAGAGGCAUCUGGAAUGUCGCAUGUAGGAGUAAAAUCCGUAGAGAUGCGAUGGAACGCCAAAAGCGAAGGCAGGAUGCUGGGCACUUACUGACACUGAGAGACGAAAGCGUGGGGAGCGAAGCGG